AACUUUCAGCAACGGAUCACUUGGCUCUCGCAUCGAUGAAGAACGCAGCGAAAUGCGAUACGUAAUGUGAAUUGCAGAAUUCAGUGAAUCAUCGAAGCUUUGAACGCACCUUGCGCCCCUUGGAAUUCCGAGGGGCACACCCGUUUGAGUGUCGUGAACAUCCUUCAACCUUUCUUGGUUUCUUAACCGGGGAAGGCUUGGACUUUGGGGGUCUUUCAUUGCUGGCCUCUUUGAAGCCAGCUCCUCCUAAAUGGAUUAGUGUGGUCUGCUUUGCCGAUCCUUGACGUGAUAAGAUGUUUCUACGUCUUGGGUUUCGCACUGUCGCUUUAGACCCCGCUUCUAACCGUCUUGCAUUCAAGACAGAGUUUUAAACCUUGACCUCAAAUCGGGUGAGACUACCCGCUGAACUUAAGCAUAUCAAUAAGCGGAGGCU
This 433-nucleotide unclassified non-coding RNA is filed under the name uncultured Russula. RNAcentral's name for it is "sequence contains ITS2". The stretch from base 1 to 154 matches the Rfam family "5.8S ribosomal RNA". The record is from RNAcentral. Lineage: Eukaryota; Fungi; Basidiomycota; Agaricomycetes; Russulales; Russulaceae.